This 1026-nucleotide long non-coding RNA is filed under the name Gadus morhua (Atlantic cod). RNAcentral's name for it is "lncRNA (ENSGMOG00000025805.1)". The record is from RNAcentral. Lineage: Eukaryota; Metazoa; Chordata; Actinopteri; Gadiformes; Gadidae.
AUGACAUCCCGCUGGUCAAAGAGGCGGAAAAUUAAAUCAAUGCUUAGGGCCACAGAGUCAGAAAUCCUGCAGCAGUUUGAUAAAACCUUUACUGAACCCAACAUGCAAGGCCACUCUGUCGCAGAACUGGAACAUGUUAAAUGCCCAAGUGUAGCAUUGGAGUCAGUUGUUUCAGUCUCCAGUCACUCAGUUGUGGACCAACCAGGUAGGCCUAUAGGGGAACAUGAGCAGAGGUCAGCAUUCAGUGAGACCCAUGUGUCAUUGGACAGUGUUCAUGACUGUCCAUCAGCUAGGCCUGUUGAUUCAGAAUCAGAUGAUUAUGAUGCUGAAGCUCCAACAUCAGAGUUAGUAUCAGUUGUGGACCAACCAGGUAUAGGGGAACAUGAGCAGCGGUCAGCAUUCAGUGAGACCCAUGUGUCAUUGGACAGUGUUCAUGAAUGUCCGUCAUCUAGGCCUGUUGAUUCAGAAUCAGAUGCUGAAGCUCCAACAUCAGACUUAGUGACAAGCUUAAGAUUUUGGGCCUCUUCCUUUUCUGUCUCACUAGCAGCAUUGACUGCACUCUUGAGCAUUUUGCGAGUGUUUCACCCAGAAUUGCCAAGAGAUGCUCGGACAAUUCUCAAGACACAAGGUGAAAUAAAAACUAAGAAAAUGGAGGGUGGGGAAUAUUACCACUUUGGCCUAGCCGCAGGAUUGAUGUCAAAACUUAAGUCUUUGAAGCUGCCUGCUAAUUUGACGACAAUUAAGCUGCAGUUUAGUAUAGAUGGUUUACCACUAUUCCGAAGCAGCAGAACUCAGUUCUGGCCCAUUCUGGCAACCAUUAAUGCUGAUUACAGCAGAUCGCCAUUCCUUGUCGGCCUCUUCUGUGGCUUUACCAAACCAAAGAGUGUCUUUGAGUUCUUGGGCCCAUUUAUUGAGGACCUUAGUGGCAUUCUAAAAAAUGGCAUUUGUUACAAAGGGCAGCAGAUAAUGGCAGAAGUGUGCUCGUUAUAUGCGAUGCCCCAGCACGAGCCUUUGUUAAAAAUAUAA